Molecule: ribosomal RNA, 418 nt
Filed under: Staphylococcus aureus
Lineage: Bacteria; Bacillati; Bacillota; Bacilli; Caryophanales; Staphylococcaceae
Description: partial 23S ribosomal RNA
Rfam family: Bacterial large subunit ribosomal RNA
Source: RNAcentral
AUUAGACGAAUCAUCUGGAAAGAUGAAUCAAAGAAGGUAAUAAUCCUGUAGUCGAAAAUGUUGUCUCUCUUGAGUGGAUCCUGAGUACGACGGAGCACGUGAAAUUCCGUCGGAAUCUGGGAGGACCAUCUCCUAAGGCUAAAUACUCUCUAGUGACCGAUAGUGAACCAGUACCGUGAGGGAAAGGUGAAAAGCACCCCGGAAGGGGAGUGAAAUAGAACCUGAAACCGUGUGCUUACAAGUAGUCAGAGCCCGUUAAUGGGUGAUGGCGUGCCUUUUGUAGAAUGAACCGGCGAGUUACGAUUUGAUGCAAGGUUAAGCAGUAAAUGUGGAGCCGUAGCGAAAGCGAGUCUGAAUAGGGCGUUUAGUAUUUGGUCGUAGACCCGAAACCAGGUGAUCUACCCUUGGUCAGGUUGAA